GCCCUUGUAGCUUAUCCAAAGCAUGACACUGAAGCUGUCAAGAUGUCCCCUAAAAAGUUCCAAAGGCA
Molecule: transfer RNA, 68 nt
Filed under: Serranus notospilus (saddle bass)
Lineage: Eukaryota; Metazoa; Chordata; Actinopteri; Perciformes; Serranidae
Description: tRNA-Phe
Source: RNAcentral